AACGGACGCUGGCGGCAUGCCUAACACAUGCAAGUCGAACGAGGCCUUCGGGUCUAGUGGCGCACGGGUGCGUAACGCGUGGGAACCUGCCCUUAGGUUCGGAAUAACUCCCCGAAAGGGGUGCUAAUACCGGAUAAUGUCUUCGGACCAAAGAUUUAUCGCCUUUGGAUGGGCCCGCGUUGGAUUAGCUAGUUGGUAGGGUAAAAGCCUACCAAGGCGACGAUCCAUAGCUGGUCUGAGAGGAUGAUCAGCCACACUGGGACUGAGACACGGCCCAGACUCCUACGGAAGGCAGCAGUGGGGAAUAUUGGACAAUGGGCGAAAGCCUGAUCCAGCAAUGCCGCGUGAGUGAUGAAGGCCUUAGGGUUGUAAAGCUCUUUUACCCGGGAUGAUAAUGACAGUACCGGGAGAAUAAGCUCCGGCUAACUCCGUG
This 433-nucleotide ribosomal RNA is filed under the name uncultured bacterium. Its description in RNAcentral is "partial 16S ribosomal RNA". It matches the Rfam family "Bacterial small subunit ribosomal RNA", at positions 29 to 507 of the family's 1533-position model. The record is from RNAcentral.